UCUGCGGGCCGUCUCCCUCCUCUCUCUCUCCCCGUUCUCCGUUCCGAUGCGGUGAGAACUGAGAACAAAAUCGCAGAGAGGGUUGAGAGAAAAAAAUUAAAGGUUGAGACCCUCCUCCGCCUUUGCCUCCGCUGGUUGCUUCCAUCGCCCCCCCACUCUGACGCCGACGCUGCCGACGCUCCUCCGCCUCCCUCUCGCGACCUCCGCUCUGCUCUCCCUCUCUCCCCACUCCGCGAAGUCGUGCCUCUCUUCCAGCGAAGCGCGACCCCGACGCCGACGCCGACGCCCCUCCACCUCCGCCUCCGCCGGUUGCCUCCCGUCGCCGACGCCCUUUCGCCUCCCUCUCGCGACCUCCGCUCCGCUCUCUCCCUCUUUCCUCUGCGGAGCGCCCUUGCUGGCCAACCCCGACGCCGACGAACCCCUGCUCGCGUUUUGCCCUCCCUCUCCGCGAGCGAAGGUCGCUCUUCUCGCUCUCUCUCUCUCUUUCCUCCGCGAAGCGCCCCCUGCUCCUGAACGCGGACUCCGCCGACGCCGUCGCCUCCCGCCGUCGCCUUCCCAAGCCCCACCGAUAGGCACCCCAUUGGACUCCCGUACGUCCGAAGUGUCACAACGUGCUUCUACAUUCUUUGGCAAUUUCUCAAGCUCUCACCUCAAGAGUCUUCACAAGAUCCCAUCUACCAUGUUCUGCUGCAGCAUUCUAGCAAGUGGAUGAUAGCGACGCUAAUCGACUUCUACAUCAACGUUGUUGCUCUUUCUGUUUGGGUUGCUUAUAAGGAAUCGAGUUGGCUUAGUGCAUUUGUGUGGAUCCUUCCCUUGAUAUGCUUUGGCAGAUUUCUAUUGUAGCCCAAUGAUGUUGUAUCCGUACCUAAGCUUCAAUAUAUUGGAUUCAUAGCCAACCAUUUGGUAUUGCCGAAGGGAAUUCUUGAAGAAUUAUUUCUAUUUUGAAGACAUCACCUCAGUUAAUUUGCACGUGUAAAGUUAUCGAAUGGCUGAAUUAGAGGUAAUUUUUUACUCAUACAAUGUGAAAUAUAUUUUCUUUUCUUUUGAUGUUAUUUUUCUUAUUGAUUACUUAUUAUUCAUUUGGUUGCAGCAUGAAACUUCCCAUCUUGCACAUGUAAUGCGUGAUAUGGAAAAUGAUUUUGAGUUUGCCAUCGGGAUGGUUUUUUCUAAUGAACUUGAAGCAUAUCAUAAGUAUGUGGCUUAUGCAAUUAAUAAAGGAUUUGGAGUGAGGAAGGGUCAUACUGUUAAAAAUAGAAAAGGAGAAAUAACUCGGCGAACUUUUUUGUGCAAUUGUGAGGGCCAUUCUGUCACACCAUUUGAUCAAGAAAAGAAAUUUGAGAGGCUUGAAGUUAGAUGUGGGUGUAUUGCUCAUAUCAAGUUUAAGGUUGAUAAUGGUAUCUAUGAGGUUAUAGAGUAUGUUUCUGAGCAUAAUCAUGCAUUUGUAUCGGAAUAUCAAAAGCAUUUGAUUAGAUGUGGAAAGAUGAUAUCCGAUACUGUUGUAGUUGAUAUCAUUAAAGCAGGCAUUGGUGGGACUACGGCACAUAAGUUUUUAGCAAAUGAAGCAGGAGGAGGAAGUAAAAACUUGGGUUUAUGUCAAAAUUUUUUACAGACAGAAAGCAAUAAGGAUGUAGAUGGGAGAGAUUAUCAAAAUCUUUUGAAUCAUUUCAAUUGCAUGCAAAUGCAAAAUCCAAUGUUUUUCUACGCUGUACAAGUAGAUCAAGAUGGUAGAUUGACAAAUUUAUUUUGGAGAGAUAGUUUGUCCAAAUUCGAUUACCAUUGUUUUGGUGAUGUAGUGGUGUUUGAUUCCACGUAUCGAAUUAAUAGAAAUAAUUUGAUUUGUGCACCUUUUGUUGGGGUUAAUCACCAUUGGAAAAAUACUCUGUUUGGAUGUGCAUUUUUGUUGGACGAGACUGCAGAAUCAUUUACUUGGUUAUUUGAUGUGUUUUUGGAGUCUAUGGAAAAUAAGGCUCCUAAAACCAUAUUUACUGAUCAAGAUCAAGCUAUGGCAAAAGCCAUUAGAAGGGUGUUUCCGAAUACACAGCAUCGUUUAUGCCCUUGGCACAUAAUAAAAAAUGCCAAUCAAAACAUUCCACAACUAUACCAUAAGUCGGGUUUUAGAGAUAAGUAUUUUUUAAGACUUAUGUAUAGAUGCAAAUCGGAGGACGAAUUUGAAUCUACUUGGAUGGAAAUGGAAGAGGAGUGGGGUACUCAGAACAACAAUUGGCUUCAGAGAUUAUACGGCUUUAGACAUAAAUGGAGUUCAGCUUUUGGUCGUGAUAUUUUUUCGUGUGAUAUAUGGUUAAGCCAAAGGAGUGAGAGUACUAAUAAUGUCUUCCAGCAUAUUUCGAAGAAGACAUCAUCCCUUGUACAAUUUGUCAAUUAUUAUGAAGAGCAAUUGAAGCACAUGAGAGAAACUGAAAUUUAAGAUGAUUAUAAUUCUCGUGGGAAGCCCAAAUUGCAGGUUUCAUAUAAUGGGAUUUUGAUACAUGCUGCUUCAGUUUAUACCCGUAUUAUUUUUCAGAAGUUUAAUGAAGAAUUUUUAGAAUGUCUCUCUGAACAAAUUUCAGGUACUACAUUUGAUGGAUCGGUAUAUUUAUAUAUCAUAAGGUGUAUGGGAAAUCGACGUGAACACCUUGUCAGAUUUAACCCUGUAGAGUUAUCAAUUUCUUGUGAAUGCAAAUUAUUUGAAUCAAAAGGGUGGUUGUGUCGCCAUGCAUUGCACGUGUUGAAUAAGAAUAUAUCGGUGGUUAAGAGCAUUCCAUCUUCCUAUAUUUUGAAAAGAUGGACUAAGGGUGCCAAAGAAGGGAUUGUGAAUGAUGAAUCUUUGCCACCUGGUCCGUCUAAAUUUGAUCGAUUUGCCACGUUAAUGCAAGAAUCUUUUGAGCUGAUGAUUUUGGGAGCCAAAGAUGUAAACACUAUGCAGAUAAUGAUGGAGAAUAUGAAAAUAGCGAAGGGUCAAAUUUCAUCAUACAAGUCAAGUAUAAUUGUGACUGAUGAUGCUGGUGAUGAUGGUGAUAAUGAGGAUUCUUUGUGCGAUAUCUCGGUAUUAGAUCCCAUUCGAAGGAAAGGAAAGGGAAUAAGUUAUGGAAAACUAAAAAGUUCAAGUGAGAAAAAAAAGAAAAAAUCUAUCAAAGGAACACCCCCAAUGCAAAUAGACAAUCGAGAGUUGGUUUUUCAAGCAACACAUAAGGAAACUCAUUUUUCAAAUCAUUUGAGUAAUUCGAAUCAAUUUGAAAGUAUCUUUUAUCCCAGCAACAUUGGUGGUCCUACCGUAAAUUUUAAUAAUCAGAUGCAACAACCGCCAUACAUCAUGCCAUUGGGGAUUAUGAAUGGAUUUUGUCAAUUUCAUAAUCAGAUGCAAUCAUCAUAUAUCAUGCCGCCAAGCAAUUUGAAUGGAUUUUCUCCAUUCACUAGUCAGUUUAUUUUGGAUAGAUGUUGGAGCAUUAUAAUAGAUCUCAUGGAACCAUUUUGAGUCAGGGGUCAUCAAAUUCUUUUCAACAUCUUGGGAUGAAUGAAUCCGGAGGCCCCUCUAAAAGCACAGAUAAUGCACAGUCACAACAUAAAUAGCCUAGAGGAACCCUCAUAUAGGAAUAAUAAGUGAAGAGCAAGUGGAUUGCUUCAACAUGCCACUGUAUCCUGCGUCUCCGGCGGAGAUUGCACGGCUAGUCAAAAUGGAUGGUAGUUUUCACAUAGAGAAGAUGGAGUUGCUCAACACCCAAACGAGGUAUGAAGGUGGAGUCCAUGCACAGGAUAUUGUGAUACACCUAAGAGCGGGCUUGGAGGGGAUCAUCAGCAAACACUUCGGAAGCAAGAUCAUUGACGAAGUAGCUUGCCAUGAACACACCACGGAAAACUUAAGAAAUGAUCUUCAUGAGCCUCCUCCUUAUAGCAGCCCCAGAAAUUAGGGUGGUAGGUCACAUGAUACCGAGCUGAUGCCUUUGCAUAAAUGUUAACACCACCAGAAGCUUAUCCUGACUCUGUAUCAUCGAACCAUGACCUGGCUUGCUUUCUCAAGGACCUCGCAGCAGAAUUUAUACCUUCCAGGUCUCUUCUUUUAUCAAAAUAUUUCGACUUUGUCAGGAUAUUGCCACUCAGCAUUUCGGCCUUGGUUUUGAUGUCAUAAUAAUGCAUCAACCUCCUCAAUUUGCAAUCAUACUCAAGUUUGUACUGAAAGGCUUCCAUGACAUAGUCCUCAAAGCCUUGUAUUUCCAUUCUACAAUUGUGAGCUCAGAGCAACUUCCCUCGUGAAGGAAUUUAUAGAA
This is an RNA transcript of Eucalyptus grandis, 4262 nucleotides long. It is a transcript of the gene named protein FAR-RED IMPAIRED RESPONSE 1, with no coding region annotated. The record is from RefSeq and is a predicted model, not a curated record. Lineage: Eukaryota; Viridiplantae; Streptophyta; Magnoliopsida; Myrtales; Myrtaceae. The transcript has 12 exons.